Dermacentor silvarum is the source of this 11060-nucleotide RNA transcript. It is a transcript of the gene named caspase-2, with no coding region annotated. The transcript has 8 exons. Lineage: Eukaryota; Metazoa; Arthropoda; Arachnida; Ixodida; Ixodidae. The record is from RefSeq and is a predicted model, not a curated record.
GCUUCACUGAAUAAAAUGCCGUGAACCCGUCUCCACUCGCGUUCGCAACGUGGCUUUCGAGAUCACGGUACGCGCAGUGCUACACGAGUAAUCUAAAAAUAAAACGUUGACGCUACGCACAUAGAAGCGUUGUGAUGGCUACGCGAAAUAUGACGCAAAAAACGUCACGUUUAUUUUAUGGCCCAUUCACACUUGCGACUGUCGCACGGUAGCGCUGCCGACCAAUCCGGAUCAAGGCGGAAGUGCGGUGCGUAUCGUGCGUCGCUAUGUGGUCGCUAUGACUGUUCGUACGCCUGCUUUCGUUUGAUGCUGGGCAUGGGUGUUCUGUGGCUGGGCUAGCCCAUCGGUUAUCUCAGUGCAGUGUGCGUUCUUUGGAUACCAAGAGGAAUUUGCAGCGUCGAUGUGGCAGCCUUGUUCUGUGCUUGAUACCGCGAGAACACCUGUCACCGGAACGAUCGAGAUCACAACGCGAAAGCCAGAGCGAGGCCCGAGGCCCUUGCGUCCGUGCCGGCGCUUUAUGUUCCGCCAGGUUGGACAUGUAGCGCAGAAGGGCAAGAAUGAGCCGUGCUGUUGAGCUGGUGUGAAUGCCAAUCGAUUACAGCGCGGUGCGAUCACGACAGCUUCCCAUUCGGUACUGAAUCGUCGCUACGGAGGCUACAGCCUCUGGAAACGGGUUCGACAUGUGAUCGGUUGCCGUUAUCGCGUGCUGCCCAUCGCAUAUUGCGCGGUAUUGCAUCUGAACGUUGCAAUAGUUAAAGGGAAGUCAUGGCGGUCGCGUUCAGUCCAGACGCUCAACUCAUCCCCAAAGACGCUGCGGUUACGCAGGCUUCGCAGGUGCCCGCCUGCCGCUACGUAGCCGUUCUCAACGAACUAUGUGACGUCGAUCGCGUGCGCUUCGCGUUUCUUGUGUACGGCGCGAUGAACUCGCAGCACGGCGUACCGCCUUCGCAGAGAUCGCGCGCCCUGGUGCGCUACCUGACCGGUACCAGUCCAGAUUUCGACGUCGUCAAGGGUUGUUUGAUCGAGUGCGGCGCGUCGCCCGAUGAAACCGCCUUGGAGAUGCUGUACGUAAUGCACAAGUUCGAGCCCAUGCGAAGGAUAUUUGGAAUCUGCAGCCACAGAGCCAGUACGCUUUACCAGUCGCCCAGGCGUGUCAGGAAAUUUUGGCGUGAGUUGGCCAACUUCUGCGAGUCCUGUUUGGAUGAGGAGGCUGCAGAGAUCUUGAGGCACUUUCUGCCCGAAUCUUUGCUGUCCGGUGUGCCGACACAUGCGGAAGCAGUUGUUGUGCUGCUUUACGAGAGCAGCAUCAUUACCCUGGACAACUAUUCUGCUCUGUACGAACAUAUAAGGGCAGCGUACAACAACGAAGAACUCUUGGAACAUCUCUGUGAAACAGUGCCACGGUAUUCCAUGGCAAACAGCCCCCAUGGAUAUGCAGUCAUUUUAAACCAUAAUGUGUUCAAAGACCCAAAGAAGGAGAUCAAGCUGGAGGAACGACGGGGAACAAAGAAAGAUGUUGAUGUGCUCAAACAACUGUGGGAGGAGCUCGAUUUUGACGUCAGAGUGUACAGUGACUACACAUUAACUGAAAUCGAAAAGUUAUUACAAGAAAUUGCCACAGUUUGGGAUCACCGGAAGAGCGAUGCUCUUGUUUUCAUCAUUUUGUCACAUGGGUACAGAGGUGGCUUCUACGCGAGCGACUGCAAAAAGGUGGACCUUGACACCAUUGAGAGCUACCUCUGCGAGAAAUGUGAUGGUCUCCGGGACAAGCCAAAGGUUCUCUGCGUCCAGGCUUGCCAGAGUGGCGAAUCAUCUGAACCACUGCCCAGGAGCACUGGUGAAAGGCGGAGCCGGGCUCACAUGCUCAAGUUCAUGUCAACAGUGCCUUACUCCCUGUCCUACCGGGAUCCCCACUACGGCAGCGUGUUUGUGCAAGCGUUUGUGGACGCGGUGCGCCGACACUGGCGCAACCACGACCUUCUGCAGAUCGGCACCUUCAUCAACAGUGGCGUGGCCGACAAGCCCAUCCCCGUGGUGUCCAGCGACGGCCAAAACAUCAACUGGUCAAGCCAGACUUCAGAAGUGAGCAACACGUUGACCCGUUCCCUCUACCUGGGAAAAAAGUGAAGCACUGCGGUUGUUUGGCCUCGACACAGAUGACCCUGCCACGUUUUUUUUUUGUUCCCAUUUUCUUUAAAGGUACCAGUCAGUUUAGACUGGUAAACUGUCCUCUCAGAAAGCUUAUCUGCAUUCCCUUGACGUAAAAAAUUUCUCAUUAUACUCAAACCUCGUUAUAACGAAGUUGAAGGGCAAGCCGAAAAUUACUUUGUUAUAUUGAUUAUUGCCCUUUAAUGCAGUUUGAGCCAAGUCUUGCAGGGCUGCACAGUAAGGUCACUGCACUGGGUGGUGUCUGUGGCCUGGCUUUAAUUGCUGUGCGAAAACUCGCCACAUCUGCGCAGGCAAAGCGAGUUUUUGCGAACUCUAUCGUCAGAGCAUGGUCGUCACGUGUGGCAACCAACACAAAUGCGUGUCAUUGUUCUCACAGCAUUCCGAAUCUUCUCUUCUUGCCCUUGUAUUAUAUUUCGCUUUGCAAUUGUUUUACGUUUUGUGUGGCCUUCCGUGGCGCCCUUUUUUUAAUGAUUCUUUUAAUGAAUGACUGUGCCUUACGAGUGUUUUCUUGCUCAAUGUUUAGGGCAGUCCUUCAGACCUGUGUUCAGUCUAGGACUUCGGCUAUGCUAGUCGUGUGUCGUUUGCGCCUGCAAAUUGAAAGUGUUGAUCAAAGUGUUGAAAGUCAGUCAAGCACAGUGCUGCGGACUUUCUGAUAAGUAGUUUUCACAUGGCAGCAGAGACUCUGUAUGUAGCAGUAAAACCCCGUUAACUCGAAUUCGUAAAAACCGGGUAAAAAUUUCGAUGUAAGCGGAUAUUUCGAGAAAAGCUAAUUCCCGAAAAAAAUACAAGCACCAGGCUGCACCAUAGACCACGUAGAGCCUUUCGAAAUAGGCGCCAGUAACCGCUAAAUUUCUUGCAAAAGCUCGGCAUACCAGGAGCGGUGUUUUCGGUAAAUGAUGUUUUUGCCAAAUAUCAAGCGCGAGAUAGUUCGCGCGAGUUGUGGUGUCAUGCUGAUACUGCAAUCUCCACACAAUCGCUUAGCGGGAAUGCUACAGUGCACCUGUGCUCAGUGCUUGUGGCGAGAUCGCUUCCUUCGCUCUGCUUAAAAAGUUUGAGUGAACGUAAUUUGAGAGCGCGUCUACUUGGCUUCUCGGUCGUUUUGCAGCCAAGCUGACAGCGCGUCGCGUGCGUCUUGUUGGGACGUGCUUAUCGAAUGCGAAAUGUACACUUCCCUGCAGCGUUUCAGCGCGUGACAUCCGAGUAGAGGGAAACGUAAGCAGCACUCAACUGAAACUGUCUGUUAUCAAUGAGAUUGUAGCCGGCUCUGAACGGUGCACGAUAAGAGUGGCGCAGAAUGUAGCGGAAUUUGCUACAAGCCUUUUUUGCGGUCCUGUCACCUUUACGUGAUGUCACAGCAGUGCACAAAGUAUGAGAACCUUUGUGUAGUGACUUUCUCCCCGGCGUUUUCUCGGUCGAGAUUUCGAGGUAUUCGUAGUGCAGCGCAAUAUCAUUUUGAGAUAAGAGGUGAAAAAUACAUGCAGUUGGCAUUAAGCCAGGAAAAAAUUUCAAUUGAACCAAUAUUUCGAGAUAUCAAAGUUCGAGUUAACAAGGGUUUACUGUAGUUGAACCAUGUUUAAUGAACACAGAUAUACGAAAUUACUGGAUAUUUUGAAGGGAAUCUAAAAUUUGUCUUCAUUUCAGUGAGUAUUCUACUGCUACAAUGAAAACAAAAAGCCAGAUCAAACACAGUAUUGGUUAUAACCAAGCAACCUUUUGUUUGCAUGUGACUCGGAAGGUGUGUAUUCUGGUAAGAAAUAUGUCACUUCGCAAGAACAAAAUGAAACAGUACAACCUGGAUGCAUGCAGGCCUUUUGGCUAGUAGCUUGGCUUGGCUAGCAAGCCAACGUGCUGAUUCCGUGUGAUCACAAGAAUCGCAUGAUUGUGCAUUAAGGAUGGUGCAAAGUGGGUGUCUGCAACUUGGUGUUGUUUCUGUGCCUCAUGUCGGCAUGACAAUUCGCCAACAGGCCAUCAAAAUUUACAGACGAUCAUUUAACUUGUAAGAGGCGUCGCACUGUUUUUUUGCACACACUCUAUUGCAAGUUUCUUCCUGCUGAUAUAUAUAGGCAUGUAUGCUUAAUGAGUAUCAGGUAUAACAAAGGUCUUUUUCAUGUCAAAUGUGACUUUGUUAUAACUAGGUUUGAGUGUAUCAGAAAACCAUCUGUUGAGCAUGUGAAUGCCCAUCGUAGCCCCUUAUGUUUCGCAAGUGCUGAAAGUUGAUUUCUGUUUGGUUUUGUAAGCAUUGCUGCCUUUGUAGAGUGCAAAUCUUGUCAUCCUGCACACAUGUUCAGCUGGAGAGAUGAGCGUUUGGAUAUUAGCUUUGCAUUUCUUUGUGAAUCCAUAUGUCAGUGUGGUGACUUGCAUCAAACUUGCCACAGCUGAUGUAGCUGAUGAUGGCUCUGAAUCUUUUUUACCCAUUUCCUGCCAGACUUACUGUGUUUGACUUCAUCAUCAGCCUAUAUAUAUAAAUGUCCACUGCAGGAUGAAGGCCUCUUCCUGCGAUCUCCAAUUACCUCUGUCUUGCACUAGCUGGUUGCAACUUACGCCUGCAAAUUUCCGAACUUCAUCACCCCACCUAGUCUUCUGCCGUCCUCAACUGCGCUUCCCUUCUCUUGGUAUCCAUUGUGUAACUCUAAUGGUCCACUGGUUACCGUAUUUACUUGAUUCUAAUGCGCCCUCAAUUGUAAUGGCACCCAUUUUCCGUGACCAAAAAAAAAAAAAAUACCGCGCACCUCAUGCUUUCAUACAGAAAUACAACUUUCUCUCAUUUGGAAAAACAAAGAUUUACUCCCGGUGCACUAAAGUUACGAUGAAUAAAACAGUCACAGUUUUGCCCAAAAGGCGAAGCAUCGAUUGCGAUAGCAAAUUAGUAGAGUACCGCUAUACAAAAUUAGAAAAGCAGUUUUAUCGGCCGUAUAAACUUGCAAACAUUCGCUUACUAAAAAAUUUAACAAGCAUGGUGUCACGCGCGCACAAGCAAACAUGAACACUUCUCGCUCGUCGACCGCGGAAACUCGCUGUCAAUACGCUGGAGUGACAAAACGCGGCGAGCGAAUUGACCUUCGUGCUAGCAUGCCUCUCGCUUCAGCGCGACCCGGCGAAGACACAGCACGUCGCAGAUCGCUUUCAAGAUAGGGCCAAGGCGACCGUAUCACCGAAGUGGAUCGUCGCAGAAUACGUCCUGCUUCGGUACACUGAAACCUUUCCGCGUUGCUUAGCUGGCGAAACUCCUCUCCUUCUGUUUGCGCCAGUCCCGCACGCAAGUUUCGGAUUCUCCAAACGCCCGUGAUGCGGCCCGAUUUCUAUCCGUCUACACACACACACAUGAUCACUUUCCUAUUAAAUGCGGCAUCAUGAUGAACUUGGCACUUUAUGGUGAUAGAGCAGACGCAGAAAACAGGAAGACUAAUGCCUAAGCACGUGUACUGCAGCACAUGGAGGAAACUACGGCAGCUAGGCUAGACUGUAGCUAGGCUCUAAAUGCGUGCGAGGCGGCCAUAUUGAAAUGCCGAUGGCUAUAUGGUAACGCAGAUUUAGGGUCGUACUCAAUUAUAACGUGCACGCAAUUUUUGGACCUGUUUUAUCGGAAAAAAAAGUGCGCGUUAGAUUCGAGUAAAUGCGGUGUACAUCCUACGCAUUACAUGGCCUGUCCAGCUCCAUUUUUUUUUUCUCUUAAUGUCAAUUAGAAAAUCAACUAUCCCCGUUUGCUCUCUGAUCCACACCGCUCUCUUCCAGUCCCUUAACGUUAGGCCUAACAUUUUUCGUUCCAUCGCUCUUUGUGCGGUCCUUAACUUGUUCUCGAGCUUCUUUGUUAACCUCCAAGUUUCUGCCCGAUAUGUUAGCACCGGUAGAAUGCAAUGAUUGUACACUUUUCUUUUCAACGACAGUGGUAAGCUCCCAGUCAGGAUUUGGCAAUGCCUGCCGUAUGCACUCCAACCCAAUUUUAUUCUUCUGUAAAUUUCCUUCUCAUGAUCAGGGUCCCCUGUGAGUAAUUGACCUAGAUAAACAUACUCCUUUACAGACUCUAGAGGCUGACUGGCGAUCCUGAAUUCUUGUUCCCUUGCCAGGCUAUUCAACAUUAUCUUUGUCUUCUGCAUAUUAAUCUUCAAACCCACUCUUACACUUUGUCGGUUACGGCCCUGAAUCAUUUGUUGUAAUUCGUCCCCACUGUUGCUGAACAGGACAAUGUCGUCUGCAAACCAAAGGUUGCGGAGAUAUUCACCGUUGAUCCUCACUCCUAAGCCUUCCCAGCCUAAGAGCUUGAAUACUUCUUCUAAGCAUGCAGUGAACAGCAUUGGAGAGAUUGUGUAACCCUGGACAAAUCUUGCACGGAACGUUUGCAGUGAUGUGGACUGGCAAAUUCGUAAUGGCUUGUGGUAUGGUCCAACCAUGCUCUUUUUCCAUUAACCUUCAAAAGCUUGCUCAGACACUGGCUAUCUAGUGCGCACUUGAGAUGGAAACAAGAAAAACCGCGUGUAAGGUGGGAAGCUUAUGUGUAGGCUGUGAUAAGCGUGAUAUGCAGAGGUGAUUGAGAUUUUCUGAAACCGUUUGUGUCUUGCAUGGCCACGAUGUACAAUUUUGCGAGUCAUGAGAACGUGCAUGUGUCAUUACUGCUUUUGAAAGAACGCUGAUCGUGAGUGGUCUUGGAUUUUUCGGUUCGGUGAGACUCGAGUGACUGUGAUAGAUUUUAAGCGAUUGACAGUGAAGUGAAGUGUUUUGAUGAAAACUUUCCGGAACUAAUCCUAGUCAAAGGUAAAACAUUGUGAAUGAGGCUCCCCGUGCGAGUGCCGAAACGUCUUGUUAUUAUUUAUGUUUGUGGUCGGUGUCCAUUUUACCUUUGACUAUGAUUGACAGUGGUCGAACAAUGGGUGUCGCAGGAGGCAACUUCUAUAGUGAAGCUGUGAAGGGGAGUUCCGCGGCAGUUUUCGUGCGGCAGUGAAUGCCGGCGUGUGACGGGGUGGUCGAUAUCAAAUAUAAAUGCAAUGCAGUGCGUGUCAGAGUGCUAAAUUUGCUUUGAAACGUAAUGAUGAAAUAAUAAUGAAAUAAACGUUACCUUGCUAUAUGUCAUUUGAAUAGACAGCUUAUAUGCAGAUCUUUUUUGAACGAGUAAUCUAAUUUUUGCUUCUCACGUCGCAUUAUACCAGCUUCAAAUUGGAGGUUAGCUAUGGGCUUGUACGGCUGCGGCGGUGAAAGCUGAAGCUGUGGUGCUGCGACACUGCCUGUGUGGGAACUUUCACUAAGAACAGCCAACCACGACUGCGCUUGAACGCGAGCGAGGUUGCGAGCCAGCAAACAGACCUAUAGUACUUCUUAAGGGCAUGCAAAGUCACUUUGUUUUGCUGCCUUUGAUGUAUCAGUUGUCAGACUGACGUACAUCUUUGAGUAAUUUUUUUUGCGAUAAGGGGACUUCUUUUUGUCAGUUGACUAGACGAAGGCAAGUGUCCUUGUCGAAAUGUUGGCUACAGCGACAUCCCUUGUUUGACAAUUACUGAUCACUUCAAAUCACAAUCUUCCUGUGAUCCUCUAUCCUGUGAUAGAUUUUGCAUUGUCGGUAAAAGUUCUGGUUUUGAACUUUUACAGGGAGAUUACUUGCACUUUGGUGUAAUGUUUGUUUACGGAAAAAGUGUGUAUAGUGAGGUAUGGUGGGAAGAUGGCAAUAAGUUCGCAGAUAUUCUUUUAUGCUUGCCAUGUUAUUUCUUAAUUUUUUAACACCUGCAGCGACUUCCACAAUUGUAAGUAUGAAUACUGGCACUGUGCUUGACACUUGCCGUGAAGGGUGUGCCCUCCCACAAACUGCGACUUUGCCUGCAGCAUAGUUUGUUCUAGAAAAUGGCUGUUAAGGGUUUGUUACAGUUAUUUUGGUUCUUUGUCCAUGUUUAGCCAGUGUUCUAAGUGCAGUGCCUUUGGUAGUGGCCCAGUGUUUUACCUGCAAAAGUACACAGGAUGGAAAGAUUUCUAAUUACACAUGUGCGCUGCCCGCGAGUUUCCUUGCCAAAAUUUUCACAUUUGAAUCUGUUGUAAGUACCAAACAGAUUUUGAUGAAGGCAUGGCAAAAGGCAGAAUGAAAAAAAGAAAAUUUGGUUGCUACCUGGCUAUAAGAGAUGCUGUAGUCAAGUGGGGGCUCCAGAUUAGUUUUGACCAUUUGCUACUCUGAUGUGCACUUAAUGCUCACAUCAGUGUUUCCAACUCUGCUGCCACUGCUGGGAAUUGAACCCACAACCUAGCAGAGUGUACUGUAUAUAUGACCAUCCAUGCUACUGUCCUGAAUAUUUCAUGUGGUGCCUUGUGGCCUUAUCAUUACGUGGUGCCAUUGCUUGUAAACAAUAUAUAUAGGAAGGAUGCCAAAAUGCUUCGGAGAAAAGCCGCAUGUAGCUAUGUGCUACAUGCAGUGCUAGUUAAAUGUUGUAAAAUAUGGUACUGUUUUAUAUGAUUAAUUUUUGAUGCAUCUCAAGAGGUGUGAGUGUGCAACAAAUGAUCCCUGUGAAACAGUAGUAAGGGGAACUGGGGGCUGGAUUUCUUGUUGGUUACAGCCACACCAAGCCAAAGACAAUGAAGCCAGCGAAAGCAUAGGUUUUGUUGGCUUCAAUGUCUUUUGACUUCUUGCGGUUAGUAACGACCCCUGUGCCUUAAAACCUAGUGACUGUAGAGUAUUAUAAAUUAUGGUGCUGUUCUCUUAUAUGGUGCCCGUUACUUGGCAGCAUUGUUUAACGGCAAGUGUUAGUUCUAGACUGAUAGCUUAAGCUGCUGAAAAUGGCAUAACAUUUUCCAAGAGUUGACCCAAAUAUGACCCAAAUAAGAAAAAAUACUUUGAAAUCCAUGACGUUGCACAGAUGCACCAGGGCUCUUGUGCAAAAUUAAGAUUUAAGUUUGUCUCGUAUGAAUAAUUCGCUUACUAGAAAAUUAAUGCAAAGCUUUUCAAAAGCAUACUUUACCAGUCUAAACCGACUUAGUUUCUUUUAGUGUUAUUUAACCCUUUCGAACACCACUUUGCCAUUUGCAGAGAAAAAAUUUUUUUUAUAACAAGCCAGCUAAGUAGGCCUCAGUGAAACUAAAUACGUCAGUGGCAAACAAGAAACUUCCACUGCUUAUUUGUUGUGGCUAUGUACACAGUUGUGUACAAAGUGUCGUGGUAGUCACAAAUUUCAACAAUGUGUCUCGUGCAUGGUAACUGCAAAAGCAGUUGCAGCCUUUUCCUCAGGCAGAAUGGCACAUCCUCAACACAUUAGCCUGUGCAGCCCUCACAUUUACAGUUAGACUGCUAUGCUUCUGGCCGUGGCCUUUCUUUCUCCUUGGGAAGUCACGUUCAAGUCUGCGUGUUAACGCUGUAGGUGUUGGACGCUUCGCAAAGUAGCUUUGAAGGUGAACUCGGGCAUGUACUCUGAAAAGUGUAUGACAUUGGGGUGUUAUCCACAUUCAAGAGCCCUUUGGGCUGCCCACCAAGUGCAAUGUUCGUAGUGGUUGUAGUGGGGUUGAAUAGGGGAGAGAGAGAGAGAAAAAGGAAAAGGCAAAAUUUUGCUUUUAAAAUUUCUUGCUCAAUUUUCCACAGUACAAAGAGAUACCUGUAAAUUUUAGGUUUUGAACAUUCUCUUCCAUCUGUGUCUUCAAUGCAAGCAGAGUUAUAGAACUAACAGGGUUCGUAGCCACCAUGAAGGAAAAAAUUCAAGGGUUUUUAAGGUUCAAGGCCCUAACAAAGAAUUUACAAGGACUUGAAACAAGACUUUUUGAGGUCAUAGAAAAAGACCACAACAUGCUUUACAGCAAGGAAGCACAUCUUUUACUGCACACAAGCAAAAGUAGGCACGUUUUCCAUAAUCAAUAGCUAACUAAAAAGUUUUCACAGCUUCUUUUCUCAGCUCACUUUUUGUUUAUUGUUGGUUUCACUGCAUUGUUUUCUGCAGGUGUCAACAUUCCUUUUGCCGGUUUGCUUAAACUAAUUAAUUUCACAAUCUAGACAUAUUGCAAACACCCACAAAAAGAGGCCCAUUCUCAAACAGCAGACUCACGAUUAAGUUCCUGAAGCUUUCCCUUCAACUUGUCAUCCAUUUCUGCAAGCUCCAGAGUUUUUUAUUUUGUUGUGUUUCUCAAGCUGUUGGACUUCACAAUGAAGGUGAUGUCGCUUGUAGCUUCUGCCCGCUCAGCGUAGUUGUCAGCACAAGCUGUUAAAUCGGUGAUUGUUGCCUCCAACCUCCUCCUCUUCGUCUUCAUGCUGUCUAUUCUUCUUCAGUGUGGCUUCUCUUUGAUGCCUUUGACUGCUCGAUCGCUUCUUUUUAUCCUCCAAGUAGGCUCGAUAGCGGUUGUGUGCGGCCAAGACAUUAUUACAAUGCUCAGGAUGCCACCAGCCUUGCUUACUGCAUCGUAAACGAUUCGCUGCGACACAUAUUGUCACCUGUAGUUUUCGACAGAGACCUGGCGGUUCACGCUGAAGCCUCUUUCAAUAGUUGCCUGCCCGUGGCUCAAGACGAGAAGACGGACAACUUUCCACAAGUGCUUAUAGGAUGAGUCAAUCUUCAAGAGCUCGAGGUAGAACUUGUCUAGACUAGAAGAGUGUUUGUCAAACUGCUGUAGGUUGUGUUUCUUCUCUUGCAGAAGUUCUGUGUAUUCGCCUAGGACAGAAUCGCGCUCAUGCUCACCCAAUCGUCUCAAUGAGCCCGUCUAAUACUUUCCUGAAGCCUGUGAGACACUCAUCUGGCUUUGAGGUCAUUUGGCGAUAGCCUAGCGAAGACGGGCUCCUAACUAGAUGGUAUGUCAAUGGGCUCUUUCACAGAAUUUUCUUGGUAGUACUGAUAAGGAACUGUUUGCAUUCCAUCUUGAAGGCAAAUACGUCCUUGGUGCUCACCUUUGCGGCUUUGACGAUUUCUUCAGCUGCAUGCCCAAUGUCAACUUUCUCUGAGGAU